Molecule: long non-coding RNA, 1374 nt
Filed under: Rhinopithecus bieti (black snub-nosed monkey)
Lineage: Eukaryota; Metazoa; Chordata; Mammalia; Primates; Cercopithecidae
Description: lncRNA (ENSRBIG00000045741.1)
Source: RNAcentral
CUUGGUCGAGGAGUCACUGUUCUUUCUGAACCUGGGGCAGAGUGGCAGGGGCAGUGAUUGAAAUGUCACUAUCAACCCCAGCAAAGGGUGGAUGCUGGACUGGAGUUAGGGAGUGGAAAACGGCACAGUGCCCUUCAGGAGUCUGUAAGGGCAGUGGGGAGCUUAUGCUUCAAGUGAUGAAGAGGAGAAGACAAGGAACCAAACUGGGCUCAAGGUGCUGAAACUAUAACAUCAUUAUGUAAAAAGGCUGCCAUUAUUGCUCUUGACAACUUAUGCCACUUCCAGUGGCCUUGCAGGAAUGGGAUAAAGGGCAGACAUUUUAAGGACAGAUAUUUUCAAUGAAAGCAAAGACAAAGAAGAAUGUGUCCAGGAAGCCUAUCUGGAAGGGACACCACACUGUGGGUUUGAGGUGGCCAAGAAGGCACCUGGAUGACAUCGGUGUCAGAUGGAAAGAGACGGUGAUGCCUUCUAGGACUCUGCUGCUUUCCAGCUCUAUUGAAGCACCAGAUGCAGUGGUUCAUUGAAAUUCAGUAAUGGGUUAAACCUCGAGGAGACAACAGCUUGUACUGCUUUGCUUUCCUCUCCACUGUGGCUGUUUGGUGGAGACACAGGGAGUGGGGGCAAUGAAGGUGAUGGAGGAAAAUGUUUCUCUUCUCUGAAGCAUCAGAACAGCUCCCUUAAUGGCCUCUUAUGUCUGAGUCCCAAGGUUUUCGUUCAAAAUGAUAAUAAAAGGACACCUCAAACCUACAGGGAAAACCCACUCACAUAGAGCAGCUUCGAGCCAAGCCUCUGGAGUCACCAAGCUGAAAAGAACCUGAUUAAUGACAGCACCUGAGAUAAGUGGCACUUUAACCAACCUUAACUGUUGAUGUAUGAUGACAUAAUGUCCCCUCCAAUUAAUGACAAGGAUAUAAAACACCUGUAUUUAGCAGAGCAGAUGCUGCUUUUAUGGUUAGAUGCGCAGAUGAAAUUGACUUCUAAAGGACCAUCUAUAACUUACUUCCCUAUUAUUUGUUUCUAUAUUUGUUUCAUUAUGUAUGUUGUAGGUGCAGGAGGAAAUUUAACCCUGGAUUUCACACCUGCACAGCCAAAAGUCAGAUGUUGGAUGAGACAUGAGAACCUGGGAGAGUCUGCGGAGCUGGGAACAGAGCAACCAUGGUGGAAUAGAGGCAAAGGAAAUGAACAAGGUCUUCAAUUCCCUGUGUCGCUCCUUGCUGUGUCCCCUGGACCCUAAGAAUCCUAGAAGAGCUCCAAGCUCCCUCUCCCCUAGACUCCAGAGUUGUGAGAACUGGGGUCUGACUUGCACUUCUGCUUCCAGAAAGGACCUUGCUACAGGCAGGGCUGUGCAUGACAGUAAGGGUGACGUGUUCCCCA